Molecule: ribosomal RNA, 253 nt
Filed under: uncultured bacterium
Lineage: Bacteria
Description: partial 16S ribosomal RNA
Rfam family: Bacterial small subunit ribosomal RNA
Source: RNAcentral
UACAGAGGGUGCGAGCGUUAAUCGGAAUUACUGGGCGUAAAGCGCGCGUAGGCGGCUUGUUAAGUCGGAUGUGAAAUCCCUGGGCUCAACCUAGGCAUUGCAUACGAUACUGGCAAGCUAGAGUAUAGGAGAGGAAGGUAGAAUUCCAGGUGUAGCGGUGAAAUGCGUAGAGAUCUGGAGGAAUACCGAUGGCGAAGGCAGCCUUCUGGCCUAAUACUGACGCUGAGGUGCGAAAGCAUGGGGAGCAAACAGG